UACGUAGGGUGCGAGCGUUGUCCGGAAUUACUGGGCGUAAAGAGCUCGUAGGUGGUUUGUCGCGUUGUCCGUGAAAACUCACAGCUUAACUGUGGGCGUGCGGGCGAUACGGGCAGACUGGAGUACUGCAGGGGAGACUGGAAUUCCUGGUGUAGCGGUGAAAUGCGCAGAUAUCAGGAGGAACACCGGUGGCGAAGGCGGGUCUCUGGGCCGAUACUGACGCUGAGGCGCGAAAGCGUGGGGAGCAAACAGG
Molecule: ribosomal RNA, 253 nt
Filed under: uncultured bacterium
Lineage: Bacteria
Description: partial 16S ribosomal RNA
Rfam family: Bacterial small subunit ribosomal RNA
Source: RNAcentral